GGGGAAUUUUGUGGGUAAAAAAUGGGAAUUUUGCGGACCAAAAAUGGCAAUUUUGGUUGCUAAAAAUGGGAAUUUUUUUGAGGGAAAAAUUGGAAUUUUUUGAGGGAAAAAAUUUAAGGAUAUUUUGAAAAUUUUUGAGUUAAAAAUGGGAAUUUUGGAAGAAAAUUGGGAAUUUUGAGGGGGGGAAAUGGGAAUUUUGUGGGUAAAAAUGGGAAUUUUGUGGGUAAAAAAUGGGAAUUUUGGGGUCUAAAAAUUAGAAUUUUUUGAGAGAAAAAUUUGGGAAUAAUUUGGGAAUAUUUGAGUUAAAAAUGGGAAAUUUUGGGAGAAAAUUGUGAAUUUAGAGGAGGGAAAAAAUUGGAAUUUUGAGGGAAAAUUUUUGAUUUUUUUUGAGAAAAUUUUGGAAUAUUUUGGGGUGAAAAUUUGGGAAUUUUCGAGUGAAAAUUUGGGAAUUUUUUGGAUAAAAAUUUGGGAUUUUUCGCCUCCAUUUUGUCUCCCAGCCCAGCCCCGCCCCCUCCCAGCCUUGGCCCUGCCCCCGCUGCACCUUCCUGAACCGAGGCCCCGCCCCUUCCUGCCAGAUGUGCGGUGACGUCACUUCCGCCCAGGCCACGCCCACUCCCGGUAGUUUUCCCACCACUUCCUGUUCGGAGAACGCCACUUCCUGUUCGGAAAAUUCCACUUCCGGUUUGGAAAACCCCACUUCCGGUUUGGAAAAUCUUACUUCCGGUUUGGAAAAUUUAACUUUCGGGGCGGAGAAUUUGAAAUGGGGAGGUGAUGACGUCACUUCCGGGUCAGGCCACGCCCCCUCCCGUGAUGCUUUGCGGCAGCGGAAGUUGAUGGAGGACGGGCGGCGCCUGGUGGAGCUGGUCAGGGUCGCCGAAUCCCAGGGCCUCCCCCCGGAAUCUCUCGGCCCCGCCCCCUUUUCCGCCCUUCCGGAACAUUCCGACCCCGAAUCCCAAAUCCGGCACUUCCGGGGCCGCCUCGGGGGGGUCCUCAAGGAGCUCCAGGGGGCGGAGCCUGACCCCAAAGGGGGCGGAGCCUCCCUCGGGCCGUUCUCAUUGGCCGAAGCCGCGUGGGCGUGGCUGGAGGGGGAGGGGCAGCCGGACCGCGCCCGCCGCGUUCUGAUUGGCCGGAGGAAGCAGCAGGUCAGAGGGGGCGGGGCUUAAAGUUUGGGGGGGAAAUGGUAAAAAUUGGGUUCAAAAUGGCGGAAUUUGGGUAAAAAAUGGGGGAAUUUGGGUAAAAAAUGGCGGAAUUUGGGUAAAAUGGUGGAAUUUAGGUAAAAAUGGUGGAAUUUUGGUAAAAAUGGGGAAAAUUGACUUCAAAAUGGGGAAUUUGGGUUAAAAUGGCGAAAUUUGGGUCCAAAUGGAAGAAUUUGCUUAAAAAUGGAGGAAUUUGGGCCAAAAUGGCAGAAUUUGGGUCAAAAUGGCUGAAAUUGGGUCCAAAAUGGGGAAUUUGGGUAAAAAAUGGCAGAAUUUGGGUAAAAAAUGGCGGAAUUUGGGUCCAAAAUUGUGGAAUUUGGUCCAAAAUGGCGAAAUUUGGGUAAAAAUGGCAGAAUUUAGGUAAAAAUGGCGGAAUUUUGGUUAAAACGGGGAAAAUUGACUUCAAAAUGGGGAAUUUGGGUUCAAAAUAGCAGAAUUUGGGUAAAAAGUGGCGGAAUUUGGGUCCAAAUGGCAGAAUUUGGUUUAAAAGUGGCGGAAUUUGGGUUAAAAAUGGUGGAAUUUGGUUCAAAUUGGUGGAAUUUGGUUCUAAAUGGUAGAAUUUUGUUCAAAAUGGCGGAAUUUGGGUAUAAAAUGGCGGAAUUUGGGUAAAAAUGGCAGAAUUUGGUCCAAAAUUGCAGAAUUUCGGUAAAAAAUGGCGGAUUUUGAUUCAAAAUGGCAGAAUUUGGGUUCAAAAUAAAAGAAUUGGGUCAAAAAUGACAGAAUUUGGUUCAAAAUGCCGGACUUUUGGUAAAAAUGGCAGAAUUUGGGUAAAAAUUGCAAAAUUUUGUUCAAAAUGCCAAAAUUUCAGUCCAAAAUAUUGGAAUUUGGGUCAAAAUGGUGGAAUUUGGUCCAAAAUGGCAGAAUUUUGGUCCAAAAUGGUGGAUUUUGGGUCAAAAUGGCAGAAUUUUGGUAAAAAUGGGAAAAAUUGGGUUCAAAAUGGGAAAUUUGGGUUCAAAAUGGCAAAAAUUGGGUAAAAAAUGGCGUAAUUUGGAUAAAAAAUGGGGGAAUUUGGGUCCAAAUGGCAGAAUUUGGUUAAAAAGUGGCGGAAUUUAGGUAAAAAUGGCGGAAUUUUUUUCAAAAUGGCAGAAUUUGGUUCAAAAUGGUCGAAUUUGGAUUCAAAAUGGCGGAAUUUGGGUUAAAAUGGCGGAAUUUGGGUCCAAUUGCAGAAUUUGGUUAAAAAGUGGCAGAAUUUGGGUAAAAAAUGGAGGAUUUGGUCAAAAUGGUGGAAUUUGGGUCAAAAUUGUAGGAUUUCUGUAAAAAAUGACGGAAUUUGGUUCAAAAUGGCGGAAUUUGGGUUCAAAAUGGCAGAAUUUGGUCCAAAAUUGUAGGAUUUCGGUAAAAAAUGGCGGAAUUUGGUUCUAAAUGGCAGAAUUUGGGUUCAAAAUAGAAGAAUUGGGUCCAAAAUGGCGAAAUUUGGGUAAAAAUGGCAGAAUUUGGGUUCAAAAUAGAAAAAUUUGGUCCAAAAUGGCGGAAUUUGGGUCCCAAAUCACAGAAAUUGGGUUAAAAAUGGCAGAAUUUGGGUCAAAAUGGGGGAAUUUGGAUCAAAAUGGCAGAAUUUUGGUAAAAAUGGGAAAAAUUGGGUUCAAAAUGGUGGAAUUUGGGUCAAAAUGGUGGAAUUUGGUUCAAAAUAGCAGAAUUUAAGUUUAAAAUAGAAAAAUUGGGUCCAAAAUGGUGGAAUUUUGGUAAAAGUGGGAAAAAUUGGGUUCAAAAUGGGGAAUUUGGGUAAAAAAUGGCGGAAUUUGGGUCAAAAUGGAGGCAUUUGGUCCAAAAUUGUGGAAAUUCAGUAAAAAAUGGCGGAAUUUGGGUCAAAAUGGCGGAAUUUGGUCUUAAAUUGUAGGAUUUUGGUAAAAAAUGGCGUAUUUGGUUCAAAAUGGCGGAAUUUGGGUACAAAAUGGCGGAAUUUGUUUCAAAAUGGCUGAAAAUGUGUUCAAAAUGGCAGAAUUUGGUUCAAAAUGGCAGAAUUUGUUUUAAAAUGGCAAAAAUUAGAUUCAAAAUGGCGGAAUUUGGGUAAAAAUGGCGGAAUUUGGGUCCAAAUGGCAGAAGUUGGUUAAAAAGUGACGGAAUUUAGGUUAAAAAUGGUGGAAUUUGGUUCAAAAUGGCUGAAAUUGGGUUCAAAAUGGCAAAAAUUGGAUUCAAAAUGGCAGAAUUUGGGUAAAAAUGACAGAAUUUGGUUCAAACGGCAGAAUUUGGGUUCAAAAUGGCGGAAAUUGGGUCCAAAUGGCAGAAUUUGGUUCAAAAUGGCAGAAAUUGGGUUAAAAAUGGCAGAAUUUGGGUCAAAAUUGUGGAAUUUGGAUAAAAUGGUGGAAUUUUGGUAAAAAUGGGAAAAAUUGGGUCCAAAAUAAGGAAUUUGGGUCAAAAUUUCAGAAUUUAGGUCCAAAAUGGUGGAAUUUGGGUCAAAAUGGCGGAAUUUGGUUCAAAAUAGCAGAAUUUUGGUUUAAAAUAAAAAACUUGGGUGUAAAAUGGCGGAAUUUGGGUUAAAUUAGCAGAAUAUGGGUCAAAAUGGUGGAAUUUGGGUUCAAAUGGCAGAAUUUGGGUAAAAAAUGGGAAAAAAUGGGUUCAAAAUGGCGGAAUUUGGUUCAAAAUAGCAGAAUUUGGGUUUAAAAUAAAAAAAUCAGGUCCAAAAUGGCGGAAUUUGGGUUAAAUUAGCAGAAUACGGGUCAAAAUGGCGGAAUUUGGAUUAAAAUGGUGGAAUUUCGGUAAAAAUGGGAAAAAUUGACUUCAAAAUGGGGAAUUUGGGUUAAAAAUGGCGGAACUUGGGUAAAAAAAUGGCAAAAUUUGGGUAAAAAGUGGCAGAAUUUGGGUUCUAAUGGCAGAAUUUGGUUAAAAAGUUGCGGAAUUUGGGUAAAAAAUGGUGGAAUUUGGUUCAAAAUGGCGGAAUUUGGGUUCAAAAUGGCAAAAAUUGGAUUCAAAAUGUUGAAGUUUGGGUAAAAAUGGCAGAAUUUAGUUUAAAAUGGUGGAAUUUGGUCCAAAAUAGAAAAAUUU
This 4178-nucleotide long non-coding RNA is filed under the name Taeniopygia guttata (zebra finch). RNAcentral's name for it is "lncRNA (ENSTGUG00000025997.1)". Lineage: Eukaryota; Metazoa; Chordata; Aves; Passeriformes; Estrildidae. The record is from RNAcentral.